This 936-nucleotide ribosomal RNA is filed under the name Triticum aestivum (bread wheat). RNAcentral's name for it is "partial small subunit ribosomal RNA". The record is from RNAcentral. Lineage: Eukaryota; Viridiplantae; Streptophyta; Magnoliopsida; Poales; Poaceae.
AUGGCCUCUUCAAACGGAGCUUUGAACCCAUCACUUAUUUCUGGGCUCCUAAACUCAAUUGAGCAACUCAAUGGGACUAACUUUCCUACAUGGAAGGAGCAGAUUUCCAUUAACCUUGGGGUCAUGGAUCUUGACUACGCACUUAGGGAGAAGGCUCCAGUUCCCUUGUCCUCUGAUGAUGAAAACCUUGCUGAGAGAACUAAGGUUUAUGAGGCUAACAAGGAGAAGUGGGAGCGCUCCAAUCGAUUGUCCCUCAUGAUCAUGAAAAGCACAAUUACUCUUGGGAUUAGGGGAGCUAUCCCCGAUUCCGAAUGUGCUAAGACUUAUCUGGCAUCGGUGGAGGAACAGUUUAAAGGCUCCACAAAAGUCUAUGCCAGUACACUGAUCAUGAAAAUGCUCACCACUAAGUAUGAUGGUGCAAGCGGUGUGAGAGAACAUAUCAUGACUAUGAACGAUAUGGCCGCAAAAUUAAAGGGCAUGGACAUGGAGAUUUCUGAGGGCUUCUUGGUUCAUUUCAUUAUGACCUCCCUUCCAGUGGAGUUUGGUCCAUUCAAGAUCAACUAUAACACACAGAAGGAGAAGUGGACCAUGGGUGAGCUCACGGCUAUGUGCGUUCAAGAAGAGGAGCGACUUAAGAUCGAGAGAAAAGAUUACGCUCAUCUUACUUCCAUGAACUCAGGGAAGAGAAAGUUUAAUGGUGAAAAUAAGACUCAGAAAAAAUUAGGUCCUUCACAUAAGGCCGAGUCAAGCAAGUCUGGGGCCAAAAGGUCAAAGCCUUCUGUUGCUAAUGAGCCUUCUGCACCUAAGAAGCCUUAUUGCAAGUUUUGCAAACAUGACGGACAUAAGGAGAAGGAUUGCGAUGGCUUUAAGGCAUGGCUUGUAAAGAAGGGGAUUCCUUACCGUGAGGACGCUUCAAAGGGGGGAGCGAAUUCUUAG